Gambusia affinis (western mosquitofish) is the source of this 243-nucleotide long non-coding RNA. RefSeq lists it as uncharacterized. The transcript is spliced from 3 exons. Lineage: Eukaryota; Metazoa; Chordata; Actinopteri; Cyprinodontiformes; Poeciliidae. The record is from RefSeq and is a predicted model, not a curated record.
CACCCAAUUAACAACUCUGGAGACAUCGACCAUCAGCACAAUUUCUGGUACCGAAGAAACCGCGACCAACGCCAUCACCAGAACCCCUGGAAACGUCUCUGAACUUUACUUUGAAGUCCAAAUGAACGUCUCUAUAACGGGAGACUGUGACCCACAACAGAUCCUUCCCUAUUGGCUUAACAUGAGUCUGCCUGAUGACUUGAUGAUGGUGUUGGAUCUGCAGCUGCUCCCCAAAACAGAAAG